CCUACGGGUGGCAGCAGUGAGGAAUAUUGGUCAAUGGGCGCGAGCCUGAACCAGCCAAGUAGCGUGAAGGAUGACUGCCCUACGGGUUGUAAACUUCUUUUAUAAAGGAAUAAAGUGAGGCACGUGUGCCUCUUUGUAUGUACUUUAUGAAUAAGGAUCGGCUAACUCCGUGCCAGCAGCCGCGGUAAUACGGAGGAUCCGAGCGUUAUCCGGAUUUAUUGGGUUUAAAGGGAGCGUAGAUGGGUUGUUAAGUCAGUUGUGAAAGUGUGCGGCUCAACCGUAAGAUUGCAAUUGAUACUGGCAGACUUGAGUACAGUUGAGGUAGGCGGAAUUCGUGGUGUAGCAGUGAAAUGCUUAGAUAUCGCGAAGAACUCCGAUUGCGAAGGCAGCUUACUAGACUGCCACUGACAUUGAUGCUCGAAGGUGUGGGUAUCGAACGGGAUUAGAUACCCGAGUAGUC
RNAcentral lists this ribosomal RNA (460 nucleotides) under uncultured bacterium. RNAcentral describes it as "partial 16S ribosomal RNA". It matches the Rfam family "Bacterial small subunit ribosomal RNA", at positions 338 to 795 of the family's 1533-position model. The record is from RNAcentral.